GACGAACGCUGGCGGCGUGCUUAACACAUGCAAGUCGAACGGAAAGGCCCUGCUUUUGUGGGGUGCUCGAGUGGCGAACGGGUGAGUAACACGUGAGUAACCUGCCCUUGACUUUGGGAUAACUUCAGGAAACUGGGGCUAAUACCGGAUAGGAGCUCCUGCUGCAUGGUGGGGGUUGGAAAGUUUCGGCGGUUGGGGAUGGACUCGCGGCUUAUCAGCUUGUUGGUGGGGUAGUGGCUUACCAAGGCUUUGACGGGUAGCCGGCCUGAGAGGGUGACCGGCCACAUUGGGACUGAGCUACGGCCCAGACUCCUACGGGAGGCAGCAGUGGGGAAUAUUGCACAAUGGGCGGAAGCCUGAUGCAGCAACGCCGCGUGCGGGAUGACGGCCUUCGGGUUGUAAACCGCUUUCGCCUGUGACGAAGCGUGAGUGGCGGUAAUGGGUAAAGAAGCACCGGCUAACUACGUG
Molecule: ribosomal RNA, 468 nt
Filed under: uncultured bacterium
Lineage: Bacteria
Description: partial 16S ribosomal RNA
Rfam family: Bacterial small subunit ribosomal RNA
Source: RNAcentral